CCUACGGGAGGCUGCAGUGAGGAAUAUUGGUCAAUGGGCGAGAGCCUGAACCAGCCAAGUCGCGUGAGGGAGUACUGCCCUAUGGGUUGUAAACCUCUUUUGCCGGGGAGCAAAAGCCGGACGUGUCCGGCUGUGAGAGUACCCGAAGUAAAAGCAUCCGCUAACGCCGUUCCAGCAGCCGCGGUAAUACGGGGGAUGCGAGCGGUAGCAGGAUUUAUUGGGGUUAAGGGGUGCGCAGGCGGAUUUUAAAGUAACCGGUAAAAUCGUGGGGCUCUACCACAUCCAGCCGUUGAAACUGGUGAUCUAGAGUGUGCGAGAGGUAUGCGGAAUGCGUGGUGUAGCGGUGAAAUGCAUAGAUAUCACGCAGAACCCCGAUUGCGAAGGCAGCAUACCGGUGCACAACUGACGCUCAGGCACGAAAGCGUGGGUAUCGAACAGGAUUAGAUACCCUUGUAGUC
Molecule: ribosomal RNA, 458 nt
Filed under: uncultured bacterium
Lineage: Bacteria
Description: partial 16S ribosomal RNA
Rfam family: Bacterial small subunit ribosomal RNA
Source: RNAcentral